UUUUCAGUGCAAGUAUAUCCCAUGCAAGAUUUGAGAUAUACUUAUGCUAAAG
RNAcentral lists this microRNA precursor (52 nucleotides) under Marmota monax (woodchuck). Lineage: Eukaryota; Metazoa; Chordata; Mammalia; Rodentia; Sciuridae. The record is from RNAcentral.